This 639-nucleotide ribosomal RNA is filed under the name uncultured Actinomycetes bacterium. RNAcentral describes it as "bacterial SSU rRNA". It matches the Rfam family "Bacterial small subunit ribosomal RNA", at positions 232 to 885 of the family's 1533-position model. Lineage: Bacteria; Bacillati; Actinomycetota; Actinomycetes. The record is from RNAcentral.
CGCGGCCUAUCAGCUUGUUGGUGAGGUAACGGCUCACCAAGGCAACGACGGGUAGCUGGUCUGAGAGGACGAUCAGCCACAUUGGAACUGAGAUACGGUCCAGACUCCUACGGGAGGCAGCAGCAGGGAAUCUUGCGCAAUGGGCGAAAGCCUGACGCAGCGACGCCGCGUGGGGGAUGAAGGCCUUAGGGUUGUAAACCCCUUUCACGAGGGAAGAAACUGACGGUACCUCGAGAAGAAGCCCCGGCCAACUACGUGCCAGCAGCCGCGGUAAUACGUAGGGGGCGAGCGUUGUCCGGAAUUAUUGGGCGUAAAGGGCUCGUAGGCGGCUUGGCAAGUCGGCCGUGAAAACCCAGGGCUCAACCCUGGGACGCCGGUCGAUACUGCCAUGGCUAGGGUCCGGUAGAGGGGAAUGGAAUUCCCGGUGUAGCGGUGAAAUGCGCAGAUAUCGGGAGGAACACCAGUAGCGAAGGCGGUUCCCUGGGCCGGCACCGACGCUGAGGAGCGAAAGCGUGGGGAGCAAACAGGAUUAGAUACCCUGGUAGUCCACGCCGUAAACGUUGGGUACUAGGCGUGGCGUCUUAUCAACGGAUGCCGUGCUCGAGCUAACGCGUUAAGUACCCCGCCUGGGGAGUACGG